UACAUACUCCCUCCGUCCCAAAUUACUUGUUUUAGAUUUAUCUAGAUACGGAUGUAUCUAACACUGAAACAUUUCUAGAUACAUCCAUAUCUAGACAAAUCUAAGACAAGUAAUUUAGGACGGAGGGAGUAUUAC
This is a non-coding RNA of Hordeum vulgare subsp. vulgare (domesticated barley), 135 nucleotides long. NCBI's taxonomy places the organism in Eukaryota, Viridiplantae, Streptophyta, Magnoliopsida, Poales, Poaceae. The record is from Rfam.